This 305-nucleotide unclassified non-coding RNA is filed under the name plant metagenome. Its description in RNAcentral is "partial contains 5.8S ribosomal RNA, internal transcribed spacer 2, and large subunit ribosomal RNA". The stretch from base 1 to 105 matches the Rfam family "5.8S ribosomal RNA", at positions 50 to 154 of the family's 154-position model. The record is from RNAcentral.
GAAAUGCGAUAAGUAGUGUGAAUUGUAGAAUUCAGUGAAUCAUCGAAUCUUUGAACGCACAUUGCGCCCUUUGGUAUUCCUUAGGGCAUGCCUGUUCGAGCGUCAUUUGUAACCUCAAGCUCAGCUUGGUGUUGGGUGUCUGUCCCCGCCCCGCGCGGGGACUCGCCUCAAAAACAUUGGCGGCCGGUACGUUGGCUUCGAGCGCAGCAGAAACGCGAACUCGAGGCCCGACGGAUCGGCGACCAGAAGUCACUUCUUCCACAGCUUGACCUCGGAUCAGGUAGGGAUACCCGCUGAACUUAAGC